GCUGUGGCCUACUGGUUAGCGCUUCGGACUUGUAACCGGAGGGUUGCCGGUUCGAACCCGGCUGAAGCG
This 69-nucleotide transfer RNA is filed under the name Alosa alosa (allis shad). RNAcentral describes it as "tRNA-OTHER". The record is from RNAcentral. Lineage: Eukaryota; Metazoa; Chordata; Actinopteri; Clupeiformes; Clupeidae.